AAACUUAGGAUAAUAUCAAACCAAGG
RNAcentral lists this transfer RNA (26 nucleotides) under Neophema elegans. RNAcentral's name for it is "partial tRNA-Trp". Lineage: Eukaryota; Metazoa; Chordata; Aves; Psittaciformes; Psittacidae. The record is from RNAcentral. RNAcentral also lists the same sequence under 3 other names.